This is an RNA transcript of Chiloscyllium plagiosum (whitespotted bambooshark), 5786 nucleotides long. It is a transcript of the gene named leucine-rich repeat and fibronectin type-III domain-containing protein 2, with no coding region annotated. The record is from RefSeq and is a predicted model, not a curated record. Lineage: Eukaryota; Metazoa; Chordata; Chondrichthyes; Orectolobiformes; Hemiscylliidae.
GGGAGAAAGAGUGACAGAGGUGAAGGAGCAAGAGAGAGAGUGGGAGUGUGUAUCGCUUUCCCUGGAAUUUUGGGAGGGAGAGAGGGUGCUGUGAGAGAGAGUGCUGUGUGUGUGUGUGUGAGAGAGAGAGAGAGAGAGUGUGUGUGUCAGUGCUCUGUAGAGCUCAGCAUGGGGAUGAGAGACUUCUUCAAAAUCUUCCAGGUGCGGAUUUGAGUGACUCCAGACCGUUUUAAUAAAGAAACGAGGAGGAAGCUAGAGAGAGAGAGAGAGAGAGGAGGUGGGGAGGGCGAAACAGAUUCAAUCCUCGUACAAACUACCCCCAGGAUAUAAAUGGAAGCUGAGUGAGAUGGAGUUCCUGAGGAAGUGAGUGUGUUGUCUUCAGCGUGAGGAGAGUCUCUGAGAAAGAAUGAAGCUUUCCGGAAUUCCCGAGGACUGGACUUGAUGGGAUUUUGUGAACAGCAACUUGCCUUCGCCACUAACUGCCAGCCCAGGCUGCAUGAUCCUCUUUCAAGGUACCUCUACAUGAUCUACAAUGGAAAAGCUGCUCUGGAGCCUGCUGGUGAUUGGAAUGGCGAUGGCAGUCUAUGCUUGUCCCAAAUACUGCGUGUGUCAAAACUUGUCAGAGUCGCUGGGCACUCUGUGUCCCUCCAAGGGUCUUCUGUUUGUCCCACCAAACAUCGAUCGGAGAACCGUUGAGCUCCGGCUGGGGGGCAACUUCAUCUUUUCUGUGAGCCGGCAGGACUUUGCCAAUAUGAGUGGCCUUGUUGAUCUGACUUUGUCCCGGAAUACCAUCGACUACAUCCAGCCCUAUUCGUUCGUCGACCUGGAAAGCCUUCGAUCCUUGCACCUGGACGCCAACAGGUUGACGGAGAUCGGAGGCAACGUGUUCCGGGGCCUGUUGAACUUGCAGCAUUUGAGCUUGAACAACAACCAGCUCCACUGGGUGGCGGAGGGGGCGCUCGACGAUUUCCUGAUGACGCUGGAGGACUUGGACUUCUCCUACAACAACCUGGUGAGGCUGCCCUGGGAAGCGCUGAGCAAGAUGACCAACCUGCACACCCUCAGCCUGGACCACAACCUGAUUGACUACAUCCCUGAGGGAACAUUCACGGAGCUGCAGAAGCUGGCCCGGCUGGACCUCAUCUCCAACAGGCUGCAGAAGCUCCACCCUGACCCCAUCUUUGCCAGGUCUGAGAUGCUGCUCAUGUCCACCACCCCCUACUUCCCACCACUGACCCUCACCCUGGGCGGGAACCCGCUCCAUUGCAACUGCGAGCUGCUCUGGCUGCGGCGGCUGAGCCGGGAGGACGACAUGGAGACCUGCGCCUCCCCGGCUCACCUCAAGGGGCGCUACUUCUGGUACAUCUCGGAGGAGGAGUUUGUGUGCGAGCAGCCUCUCAUCACCCAGCACAGCCUGAAGGUGCUGGUGCUGGAGGGGCAGACGGCCACACUGCGCUGCAAAGCUAUCGGGGACCCCAGGCCGGUCAUCCACUGGGUGGCGCCGGAUGACCGGAUCCUCGCCAACUCCUCCAGGACCGUCAUCUACGAGAACGGCACCCUGGACAUCCUGAUCACCACCUCGCAGGACUACGGCACCUUCACCUGCAUCGCGGCCAAUGCGGCCGGAGAGGCCACUGCGUCGGUCGAGCUCUCCAUCGUGCAGCUCCCUCACCUCAGCAACGGCACCGGGAGGAGCCUGCUGCCCGAUUCCCGGCUCUCCGACAUCACCGGCUCCACCAGGUCGCACCGGGGCGAGGGCAAGGCUGCGCCUGAGAAAAAGGUCACGGUGUCCCAGGUGACAGCCAGCACGGCACUGGUCAAGUGGUCAGUGGGCCACUCCGCACCCAAGGUCAAGAUGUACCAGCUUCAGUACAACAGCUCGUCCGACGAAGUGUUAGUCUACAGGAUGAUUCCUGCUUCGAAUAAGGCCUUUGUUGUGAAGAACCUGGUGUCUGGCUCUGGUUACGAUCUCUGUGUCCUGGCCAUAUGGGAUGACACGGCCACUACUCUGACAGCCACCAAUGUGGUGGGCUGUAUCCAGUUUGUCACCGGAGUGGAUUACAAUCGGUGCAGGUCCUUCCACGGCCACUUUCUGGGCGGCACCAUGAUCCUGGUGAUUGGGGGCGUCAUUGUGGCCUCGCUCUUGGUCUUCAUCAUCACCCUGAUGCUCAAGUACAAGUUUUGCGCCGGCCAGGACAAGAUGGCGGCGGUCAGCGAUGAGUGCUCGCAGACGGCAGCGGCAGCAGCGUCGGCCUUCCCCGUCCACAACGGGAUCCUGCCUCAGUUCCAGCCACCCAAGGCCACUGGGCGUGACGAGCUGCUGGAGUUCAACUGCGGCUCCCUCCGCAGCAGCCUGUCCUCGCCGUCAUCGUCGUCUUCGGGCUCCAGCCGGGACUGCUACAGCCUCCGCAGUGACAGCAGCACCCUCUCUCGCAAGUGGCGGGCCACCUCCAGCAGGCACAACAUCGACCGCCUCAUGGGGGCCUUCGCCUCCCUCGACCUGCGGUGCCAGCGCAAGGAUGAGCAGGAGGCCCGUGACUCCCGGGCGUCCACCCUGGCCCGCUACUCGGACAAGGAGCCGCUGCUGGGCCGCAGCGAGUCACGCCUCAACAAGCUGCUGGCGCUGCCCAUGGAGGGCAAGGCUCGGCGCAGCCACUCCUUCGACAUGGGGGACUUCGCCUCCGGCCAGUGCCUCAGCUACCCCAGGAAGAUCACCAACAUCUGGACUAAGAGGAGCCUGUCGGUCAACGGUGUGCUCGUCCAGUACGACGAGGACGACAUCGAGAUCACCAAAGGGGUCUACUCCAGCUCGGACUGGGUGAUGGAGAGCACCGUUUGAGAAAGGAGCACUUCGGCAUGAGGCAAAGCGAGGAAAUUACCAGGGUGCUUGGUGGGGGGUGGUGGAAUGGUCUGGAGGUGCACGGCGAGAAACUGGGAGUGGCGGCUGUGGUGGGGGAUUUGGUUGAAAUUAAGAGGGAGUUGAGUCACUGUUUUAAAGGGAAGGAUAUCAAAGUCUGCCCAACAAUGCAGACACUGGGUAGCACUCAGGAGCAGGCAGACCUGGGAGAUUUGUCCUUUUCCCUCCUUCAUCCCCAACCCCACCCUCAUCUCCAAUUCCCACUUCUUGAGUGCUUUUCCGAGAAACGACUGGAAUGCAGAAUGGUCCUCCUGGUCUCGGAGACAACGAAACAUUACUUUUACCCCACUGGCUCCUUGACAGACUGUCACCCAAAGCCAAGGUGAGCUGGGGCUUUGAACAUGGCCUGAGCUUUUCCGAUGGACCAGCUGAGCGUGCCAUGCCCAGUAUCACGGUUAGCUUCCCAGACUGACAUGUGCGAAAAGGGUGUGAGGAGGGCUCAACGUUGGUACCAUCAGUGACGCCACAGCGCACACAACAAACCAGAGGGUCAGCACUCCUGCACCACCCCCCUCCCCCUUAGCCAGUGGCCCGGUCAUGUCACUCUCUUCCUUUGCUCUUUCUGGGAUAUGGGCUCCACACGAUGAUGGCUGCCCACCCGUCUCUCCGACAUGAAUCCAUUCAAUGUUUCACUCCAGUCGGUCAGCAGGACAGUGCAAGGUCAGAAAGGCCUAUCACAGCCAAGGAGUUAACACUUCUGUCUGUUUCUGCACCACAGUCCCAACACACAACAAGAAGGGUGCCACAAUUAGUUUGUAUGAGGUGCCACAGAGGCUGCAUGUGAAGUUACUCAGAGUUCCAGAAAUGCAAAAUUAUUGUUCACAAGAAAUCCUCAGUGGUGUUCUCUCAACAGAAAAGGUGGCCUACUUAAUUUAAACAAUGCAAGACUUUGAGGGGAUAAAUCACCCCGAAUAUAUAGAACAGAAAGAGGUCAUUCAACCUUUUCAGUUUAUUCUCACUCUUACAUUCCACACAAGCCCUUUCCCAUCACUGUUUCUCAAACCCCAUAUGCCUCUGUAUCAUCCUAUCAUUGGCCGCCAUGUUCUUAUCCAGCUUCCCCUUAAGUGCAUCAAUGCUAUUUGCCUUGACUACUCCCGGUGGUAAUGGGUUCCAUAUUCUCACCACUCUGUCCUGCAUUAAUCGUCGGAUUUAUGACUGGCUGGUAGAUUUACCGGUCUGUGCCACGAGUGAAAACAAUUUCUCACUUUUGAACUUAGCAAAUCCCUUCACAGCUGCAGAUCAUCUUCUAGGCCGGCUCCAGGUCGUUUGUAGAAAAUCGGAAAAUGAAUUGUCGCUGACUGGACCUGAGAACGGAGGGGAGAUAUUGAAGGAAUUCUUUAAAGCAGGCCAACAGAUGACGGACUGUUUAACUGUAGAUAGAAAUUGAGGAAGAAAUUUAAAAUGAUAAAAGGAAGUUGAAUAAAUAUUUCAAAGGGAAGAAUGCAUGAAAGUUUACCCAAUAGCACUUGCCUGUGCACUCAAUGGACAGAAUUCAAGAGCAGCGAGACUUUUAUGACUUUGUGCCAAAAUGCCUUAUCAGUAAAGCCUUUAAUUCUUCCCAGAGGUUACUUCAAUCACUCUUUAGAAUCCAAUGAUUGAAUGGUGUCAGACAGAGAGAUCAAGGGGGGUGGACAGUGUAAAUAGAAAUAGGCUCCUAGGCCUUGAGCCUCCUUCCUCAUUUGUGGCUUAUCUGCACCUCAAUUCCUUUCAUCGUCAUUGCUCCAUGAUCUGUAACAGCCUUAGCUGACAACAAUCUAUGUCUUGGCAUGUCGGUGUUUCAUUUUUCUUGUCAGUUGACCUGAGGUGUGUUUUAAGGCGAUAAAAGUGUCCUGAAGCUGGAUUGAAAGAGUUUCCUCUGGUGAUGUUUCGCAACAUCCUAUUGGUUCGAACCUACUGAAUGCCAUGUCCAUAAGAGACCUUUAUGAGGUCCAGGGAAUUGACCAAAAUGGAGGAACCUGCUAUCUGAGUGUCUAUUGCUUUGGCUUCAGGUCAUAUCAGGAUGCAAGAAGAUAAAAUAGCAAAGGAAGAAAAAUAUAUGAGGAAUCAUGGGGGAGUGGGGAGGGUGGAUACGUGUCCAAGAAUCACUUGACUGCAGACGAGUGAUUCAACAAUGGGUUUGGUGACAUGCCUCCAAGUCAAUGAACUCGGUCUCAAGCCUCUUCCACUGCCAUGCAUCAGUUUACAACAGAAGCUUCUUCUGUUCUGGAGACACUUCCUUCAAAGGACGUAAAGAAACUACUUUGCAAGUUGGCUGAAACCAAGGGCAUGCAGUCACCAGCGAACAAGAGGCUGCCUUAUCUGAAGCAACCUUUCCCUUAACCCCAGAUGGGGGUGCCAAGGGAGGAAAUGGUGGAAGAUUGUCUGGCCACAAAGGAAACAUGUAUCAAUAUCUCUGAGAAUGUUGUUGAAUAAGCAUUGUACCCUGGUGUACAUAUAUUAUAUAUAUAAAUAUACAUAUAUUUAUUUAUUUAUUUCACUCCCCCUCCAACCCCAGGCUGAAGGGCAGAAUUGCCCUGUGCCAUGUUCAGUAACUGUCUACACGUGACUCUCCCCUUCACGGGUCAUCCUUAUUGCUGCUCUACCAUGUCAGUGUUUUAUGGUCAACCACCUGUGCGAUUGCUGCUUAUACCAUGGACGCAGCCCCUUAUCAGGGUUCAAAAGGGAUUGGGGGGGGGGGGUUCCACCUCACAGAGACUUCCUUUAUUCUCUGGUUGUCUGAUGGUUUUGUUGGAAAGUCGUGCAUUCACUUAUUUUAUACCAGAAGAGGACAGAUAUUGUAUCGCGAGACUUUGUCGUAACGUAGUUUGUUUGUUUUCUAAAAAAAAUUUGGGAGAAAAAUCUACGAGCAUUAAAGUUCUAAGAGCGAUGA